RNAcentral lists this ribosomal RNA (119 nucleotides) under Pteropus alecto (black flying fox). The record is from RNAcentral. RNAcentral also lists the same sequence under 1 other name. Lineage: Eukaryota; Metazoa; Chordata; Mammalia; Chiroptera; Pteropodidae.
GACUAUGACGAUGCCACCCUGAACAAGCCCAAUCCCAUCUGAUCUCGGAAGCUAAGCAGGGUAGGGCCUGGUUAGUAUUUGCAUGGGAGACUACCUAGGAAGACCAGGUGCUGUAGGCA